UGGCGUCGCUCCUCGCCGGGAGCCGCCGCCGCCGGGAGCCACCGGGCUGCGCGCCGCCGCCCCAGCCUCGCCUUCCCCCGGGGACGGCCGCUGCGCCCGCCCGGGCCAACACGGAGGCUCGGGCCGUCGGCCGCGGAGGCUCAGGCUGCGAGGCGAGGAGCCGCAGCCCGGUCUCUUGUGGCUUCGCUAAAUCCCUGACGCGCCGGGGAGGCUAAAAAGAUCGGAGGAGCAAGAGUUCUAGGGCGAGAGGUGGGUUCGCUCUCCCGUUUUCCGGUGUUUCACAUUACCGACCGUGAGGCACCGUGGGUGAUACGGACUUCAACAAAUGGAUAUUUUAUAUUUCCCAUUAAUACUCUUCGUAUUGUCUUCAAUUUAUUAGUAUAAGCUUUUUAAAAAAAUCCCCACCUGCCUGGUCUACUGGAAUCAUAGCUACUGUCACCCAGUCUUUUCUGUCAGAAAAAUUAAAUAAAACAGCUAUUCUGAAAAGUGGUGAUUUGCACUAACCAGAAGACAGUUGAUACUAAAGGACUCAAAGGUGCUAUUUAACAUGUUACUUUCAAUCUUUAUGACUACUUUUUCUAUUAAGUGACUUGUGUCCAACAAACAUGUAAGCGGAUAUGUGUACAAUUUCUAUUGGUACAAUAUGCUUUAAAACACAGAUACAUGGGUGUUUAAUGUUAUUAAUAACA
Poecile atricapillus (Black-capped chickadee) is the source of this 689-nucleotide long non-coding RNA. RefSeq lists it as uncharacterized. The record is from RefSeq and is a predicted model, not a curated record. The transcript is spliced from 3 exons. Lineage: Eukaryota; Metazoa; Chordata; Aves; Passeriformes; Paridae.